GAUAUACUCCCUCCGUCCCAAAAUUCUUGUCUUGUCUAGAUACGGAUGUAUCUAAUACUAAAACAUGACUUGAUACAUCCGUAUUUAGACAAAUCUAAGACAAGAAUUUUGGGACGGAGGGAGUAUGAU
Non-coding RNA from Triticum aestivum (bread wheat), 129 nucleotides. NCBI's taxonomy places the organism in Eukaryota, Viridiplantae, Streptophyta, Magnoliopsida, Poales, Poaceae. The record is from Rfam.